GAUGACGCUGGCGGCGUGCCUAACACAUGCAAGUCGACGGGACUCAGCCCUUCGGGACUGAGUUUAGUGGCGGACUGGUGAGUAACGCGUGAGGAACCUGCCUUUCAGAGGGGGACAACAGUUGGAAACGACUGCUAAUACCGCAUGACGCAUGACUGGGGCAUCCCGGACAUGCCAAAGAUUUUAUCGCUGAAAGAUGGCCUCGCGUCUGAUUAGAUAGUUGGUGGGGUAACGGCCCACCAAGUCGACGAUGCGUAGCCGACCUGAGAGGGUGAUCGGCCACAUUGGGACUGAGACACGGCCCAGACUCCUACGGGAGGCAGCAGUGGGGAAUAUUGCACAAUGGGGGGAACCCUGAUGCAGCAACGCCGCGUGAGUGAUGACGGUCUUCGGAUUGUAAAACUCUGUCUUUAGGGACGAUAAUGACGGUACCUAAGGAGGAAGCCACGGCUAACUACGUG
Molecule: ribosomal RNA, 461 nt
Filed under: uncultured bacterium
Lineage: Bacteria
Description: bacterial SSU rRNA
Rfam family: Bacterial small subunit ribosomal RNA
Source: RNAcentral